GACGAACGCUGGCGGCGUGCUUAACACAUGCAAGUCGAACGGAAAGGCCUUUUCGGAGGUACUCGAGUGGCGAACGGGUGAGUAACACGUGGGUGAUCUGCCCUGCCCUCUGGGAUAAGCCUGGGAAACUGGGUCUAAUACCGGAUAGGACCGCACUUUAGAGCGUGUGGUGGAAAGUUUUUUCGGUGUGGGAUGAGCCCGUGGGCUAUCAGCUUGUUGGUGGGGUAAUGGUCUACCAAGGCGGCGACGGGUAGGCGGACUGAGGGGUUGGUCGGCGACAUUGGGACUGAGGUGAGGCACAAGUAGCUAAGGGGGGGAACUGGGGGGAAGCUUGCACGAUGGGCGCAACGCUGGUGAAGCGAGGCCGCGGAGCGGAAGACGGCGUUAGGGGUGAAAAAUACUUUCGCAAGGGACGGAGCGUUUUGUGACGGUACCUGGUGAAGAAGCACCGGCUAACUACGUG
RNAcentral lists this ribosomal RNA (463 nucleotides) under uncultured bacterium. RNAcentral's name for it is "partial 16S ribosomal RNA". It matches the Rfam family "Bacterial small subunit ribosomal RNA", at positions 28 to 507 of the family's 1533-position model. The record is from RNAcentral.